RNAcentral lists this ribosomal RNA (465 nucleotides) under uncultured Streptococcus sp. RNAcentral's name for it is "bacterial SSU rRNA". It matches the Rfam family "Bacterial small subunit ribosomal RNA", at positions 338 to 795 of the family's 1533-position model. The record is from RNAcentral. Lineage: Bacteria; Bacillati; Bacillota; Bacilli; Lactobacillales; Streptococcaceae.
CCUACGGGAGGCAGCAGUAGGGAAUCUUCGGCAAUGGACGGAAGUCUGACCGAGCAACGCCGCGUGAGUGAAGAAGGUUUUCGGAUCGUAAAGCUCUGUUGUAAGAGAAGAACGAGUGUGAGAGUGGAAAGUUCACACUGUGACGGUAUCUUACCAGAAAGGGACGGCUAACUACGUGCCAGCAGCCGCGGUAAUACGUAGGUCCCGAGCGUUGUCCGGAUUUAUUGGGCGUAAAGCGAGCGCAGGCGGUUAGAUAAGUCUGAAGUUAAAGGCUGUGGCUUAACCAUAGUACGCUUUGGAAACUGUUUAACUUGAGUGCAAGAGGGGAGAGUGGAAUUCCAUGUGUAGCGGUGAAAUGCGUAGAUAUAUGGAGGAACACCGGUGGCGAAAGCGGCUCUCUGGUCUGUAACUGACGCUGAGGCUCGAAAGCGUGGGGAGCAAACAGGAUUAGAUACCCUGGUAGUC